Molecule: non-coding RNA, 728 nt
Filed under: Acyrthosiphon pisum (pea aphid)
Lineage: Eukaryota; Metazoa; Arthropoda; Insecta; Hemiptera; Aphididae
Description: Eukaryotic small subunit ribosomal RNA
Rfam family: Eukaryotic small subunit ribosomal RNA
Source: Rfam by way of RNAcentral
UCCCUGGUUGAUCCUGCCAGUAGUCAUAUGCUUGUCUCAAAGAUUAAGCCAUGCAUGUCUCAGUGCAAGCCGCAUUAAGGUGAAACCGCGAAAGGCUCAUAUAAAUCAGUUGUGGUUCCUUAGAUCGUACCCAAGUUACUUGGAUAACUGUGGUAAUUCUAGAGCUAAUACAUGCCGACAGAGUUCCGACCGUCGCGGCGCCCUCGGGCGUCGCUCGCGGGAGGAACGCUUUUAUUAGAUCAAAACCGGCCCGUCGCGGCGCGCUUCGUGCGCGUCCCGAUCGCGGCCCGCGCAAAGACCUGGUGACUCUGAAUAACUUCGAGCUGAUCGCACGGUCUCCGUACCGGCGACGCAUCUUUCAAAUGUCUGCCUUAUCAACUGUCGAUGGUAGGUUCCAUGCCUACCAUGGUGGUAACGGGUAACGGGGAAUCAGGGUUCGAUUCCGGAGAGGGAGCCUGAGAAACGGCUACCACAUCCAAGGAAGGCAGCAGGCGCGCAAAUUACCCACUCCCGGAACGGGGAGGUAGUGACGAAAAAUAACGAUACGGGACUCAUCCGAGGCCCCGUAAUCGGAAUGAGAACACUUUAAAACCUUUAAACGAGGAUCAAUUGGAGGGCAAGUCUGGUGCCAGCAGCCGCGGUAAUUCCAGCUCCAAUAGCGUAUAUUAAAGUUGUUGCGGUUAAAAAGCUCGUAGUCGGAUCUGUGUCUGGACGGUGCCGGACCACCC